Molecule: long non-coding RNA, 258 nt
Organism: Oryzias melastigma (Indian medaka)
Lineage: Eukaryota; Metazoa; Chordata; Actinopteri; Beloniformes; Adrianichthyidae
Exons: 3
Source: RefSeq, a predicted model, not a curated record
GUUUGUCUGACAGUCUUCUCCGGAAACGACCAUGCAAUGUGGUCACUUUGUUCAUUCAGACGUUAUUAUUGUCCUUCCUGCUGGGAAUGAUUGCAAGUUUCCACGACACUGAAUGGGUGCUCAUGGCAGUGGGCAUCACAGCUACUGUGUGCUUCACAGUGGUCCUAUUCACCUUCCAGCCCAAAUUCAAAUUCACUUCCCGUUAUGGAGUUCUGUUUGUCUGCCUGAUGGUUCUGAUCAUCUUUGGUAUCCUCUGCA